UGGGCUGUAGCCAAGCGGUAAGGCAACGGACUUUGACUCCGUCAUCCCGCAGGUCCGAAUCCUGCCAGCCCAGCCA
RNAcentral lists this transfer RNA (76 nucleotides) under Provencibacterium sp. RNAcentral's name for it is "tRNA-Gln". It matches the Rfam family "tRNA". From Rfam's summary of the family: Transfer RNA (tRNA) molecules are approximately 80 nucleotides in length. Their secondary structure includes four short double-helical elements and three loops (D, anti-codon, and T loops). Lineage: Bacteria; Bacillati; Bacillota; Clostridia; Eubacteriales; Oscillospiraceae. The record is from RNAcentral.